Molecule: ribosomal RNA, 798 nt
Filed under: uncultured Flavobacteriia bacterium
Lineage: Bacteria; Pseudomonadati; Bacteroidota; Flavobacteriia
Description: bacterial SSU rRNA
Rfam family: Bacterial small subunit ribosomal RNA
Source: RNAcentral
ACGUACGCAACCUUCCUUUAAGCGGGGAAUAGCCCAGGGAAACUUGGAUUAAUACCCCAUAACACAAUCGGGUGGCAUCACUUGAUUGUUAAAGCUCCGGCACUUAAAGAUGGGCGUGCGGCUGAUUAGGUAGUUGGCGGGGUAACGGCCCACCAAGCCGACGAUCAGUAACUGGUGUGAGAGCACGACCAGUCACACGGGCACUGAGACACGGGCCCGACUCCUACGGGAGGCAGCAGUAAGGAAUAUUGGUCAAUGGACGCAAGUCUGAACCAGCCAUGCCGCGUGGAGGAUGAAGGCCCUCUGGGUUGUAAACUUCUUUUAUUGGGGAAGAAACCGGUUCUUUCUAGAGCCGUUGACGGUACCCGACGAAUAAGCACCGGCUAACUCCGUGCCAGCAGCCGCGGUAAUACGGAGGGUGCAAGCGUUAUCCGGAUUCACUGGGUUUAAAGGGUGCGUAGGUGGGCAGGUAAGUCAGUGGUGAAAUCUCCGGGCUUAACCCGGAAACUGCCGUUGAUACUAUCUGUCUUGAAUAUAGUGGAGGUGAGCGGAAUAUGUCAUGUAGCGGUGAAAUGCUUAGAUAUGACAUAGAACACCCAUUGCGAAGGCAGCUCGCUACACUAUUAUUGACACUGAGGCACGAAAGCGUGGGGAUCAAACAGGAUUAGAUACCCUGGUAGUCCACGCCCUAAACGAUGGAUACUCGACAUCAGCGAUACACUGUUGGUGUCUGAGCGAAAGCAUUAAGUAUCCCACCUGGGAAGUACGACCGCAAGGUUGAAACUCAAAGGAAUUGAC